CAAGGCCGUUGGAGCGCCAGGGCUCUACCUCUUCCCAUACCGAACAGAGUCGUAAAAACUGGCAGCGCCGAUGAUACUUGGUCCGCAGGGCCUGGGAAAGUAGGUCACGGCCGUAU
RNAcentral lists this ribosomal RNA (116 nucleotides) under Candidatus Woykebacteria bacterium RBG_16_43_9. Lineage: Bacteria; Candidatus Woykeibacteriota. The record is from RNAcentral.